GACUUCCUUCGGGAAGUGUAUAAAGUGGCGCACGGGUGAGUAACACGUAAGUAAUCUACCCUCGAGUGGGGAAUAACAUCGGGAAACCGAUGCUAAUACCGCAUAACGCAGCGGCACCGCAAGGUGACAGUUGUUAAAGGAGCAAUCCGCUUGAGGAGGAGCUUGCGGCAGAUUAGCUAGUUGGUGAGGUAAUGGCUCACCAAGGCGACGAUCUGUAUCCGGCCUGAGAGGGCGGUCGGACACACUGACACUGAAUAACGGGUCAGACUCCUACGGGAGGCAGCAGUCGGGAAUUUUGGGCAAUGGGCGAAAGCCUGACCCAGCAACGCCGCGUGAGGGAUGAAGUAUUUCGGUAUGUAAACCUCGAAAGAAUGGGAAGAAUAAAUGACGGUACCAUUUAUAAGCUCCGGCUAACUACGUGCCAGCAGCCGCGGUAAUACGUAGGGAGCAAGCGUUGUUCGGAUUUACUGGGCGUAAAGGGCGCGUAGGCGGCGCGGUAAGUCACUUGUGAAAUCUCUGAGCUUAACUCAGAACGGCCAAGUGAUACUGCUGUGCUAGAGUGCGGAAGAGGCAACCGGAAUUCUUGGUGUAGCGGUGAAAUGCGUAGAUAUCA
This 613-nucleotide ribosomal RNA is filed under the name uncultured Acidobacteriota bacterium. RNAcentral describes it as "bacterial SSU rRNA". It matches the Rfam family "Bacterial small subunit ribosomal RNA", at positions 72 to 699 of the family's 1533-position model. Lineage: Bacteria; Pseudomonadati; Acidobacteriota. The record is from RNAcentral.